AGUCUGGGCGCUGGAGCGGUGGGAGCAGCGCUCGUCCGCCGUUGGGGCCCCCAGCCCGCGCGCGUGAAGCAGCUAGCCGACCAAGCCCCGGAAGGCGAGUGCCGGAGGGGGCGGGACAGCUCCUCCGGGGCCAGCGGGCACCAGGCUUGGGGGCUGAGGCCCAGCGGCCCGAGACCAACUGGGCUGACCGAGGCCGCCUCCCCGCCAGCCCUGGGGUCCACUGCCCGGGGAGCAGCUCCCUUCCCAGGUCAGACUCGGGCUUCAUCCUCUCUUGCCGCGCGCCGAGCGGUUUUCAACUCUCACUGCUAGAAUUCCUCCAACCACCCAGGAUAGCAGGACCGAGAUACAUGGCCACCCAUGACCCGGAGCGUCCACUUCCAGGGACAGGCAGUGGUGAUUGGCUUCGGUUGUCAUCUGUGCCAUCUGUCCAUGGUUCGAGAAGCUGCUGUUCACGUUUUGGGGAGGAUCAUGGUUUGAGGGCUCCCGUGGUAGAAUUUGGGGAGCUCUCAUAGGCAGAAGGCUGAGAAAAGUUGGUGCUGUGGGAAGUCAACUGGCAGCCGAUGGAGUCGGGACCCGGGAGGAAUGGAAAGGGAACCCAGAUAGGAAGCUACUGCAGUAGGCUCAGAGAGGUGAUGACGGCAGGGCUAAGACAGCGGCCUUGGGCGGUGACUGGGAAGAACGUUGAACACCGUGUUUGGGCUGAAGAAAAGAGCAAGGGAAGAGGUGAGGAACUUCAGGUGAGGGUUGAUGUAGAUGUUACUUACACAGGUAACAGACAUUCUUCACCUUUUCAUUGUUUUACAAUGAUUCAUUCUCUCUCUCUCUAACAUAUAAUUGUGAUAUUUUCACCUGUAGUCCCAGCUGCUCUGGAGUUUGAGGCAGGAGGAUGGCUUGAACCCAAGAGGUGGAGGCUGAAGUGAGCCAAGAUCGCGCCACUGCACUCCAGCCUGGGCGACAGGGCAAAACCCUGUCUCUAAAAAGAACUUUUUAAAAAAGCACCUGUAGAUUUAAGCACAUAAUAACUACACUUUUGUCUGUUUUAUUAUGAUAUCAAAGUUAAAUUUAUGAUGAAUGACUAACUGGACAAAACUGAGAGCAACCACCACAGAGGUGAAUAUACUGAAUGUAUAACACUCUCUAAUAAUUUUAAGAACUCCGCUCUAAUGAGCAGAUAUCACAGAAAGAGACUUUUCAGAUGAAAUACCGAUGACCAGGAAAUCUGUGAGACCAUUUUAAAAAAUUCGAAGUCAUUGAAGAAAUGCAAAGCUUCCAGGCUCCACUUUUCACUGAUGAAAUUGGCAGAGUUUGGGACAAUGAGAUGUUGCUGUCCCGGGAGUGCGGAUGGGGCUGUGUCCUGUGAUGGCGGUGGGCACUGGCACUCUUGUCCAGAAAGACAUUCACCACUGUGGUUCAAGAAGCACCUCAAAGGUCUUCACCUUGGUCCCUUGUCCACCUCUGCCCGCGGUCUCUCCUCCUUUCAGCCUCCUCUUUCCCACACAGUCCCUCCCGCCCUGGCUUGGUCCCCUUUCUUCUGACUGGGUCAGGCAUGUGGGUGACUCUUUGACUUCCAAGGCUCUGUCUACUUGGCUUUUUUCUUUCACCUGUUCUGCAGAAUAACAGCCUGAUUCGUUCCUCUUUUUGGGUCCUUCACUUCCAUACCUGGGAUUCGGGGCGUGGCCCAGAAAGACCCUGCAGUCUUGCAGUGUGGGGCUGCCAGCAUUUCAUGGCCUCCAAGCUCAGCUGGGCUGAAUGAACGCUGCCAUCCAGCGCUUGGCUCAUUUUCUGUCCCAUUUUCCUGAGUGCUUUUGCCAGACUUACACUUUUCUGAAAGCUACUCCACCCUACCCCAGACACACCCUCUCUCCUCGGAUGACCUGCCUCCUAAUUUCCUGAGAAAACUGGACAUGGCCACCUUUCCCCAGUGUCUGAGGCCCAGGUUGACCCGUGGUCAUGGUCGCUGUCACCACCCACCUGCCUGUAUGACAGAGUGAGACCCUGUCUCAAAAAAAAAUAAAAAGAAUGCCUCAUGUUAGGCUGGGUGUAGUGGCUUAUGCCUGCAAUCCCAGCACUUUGGGAGGCUGAGGCAGGAGGAUAGUUUGAGCCCAGGAGUUCAAGGUCAACCUGGGCAAGAGAGGGAGACCCUGUCUCUACAGUUAAUUUUUAAAAAUUAAGGCAGGGCAUGAUGGCUCGUGCACGUAAUCCCAGCACUUUGGGAGGCUGAGUCAGGACGAUUGCAUGAGCCCAGGAAUUCAAGACCAGCCUGGGCAAUGUAGAGAGACCUCCAUCUCUACAAAGAAUUUUUAAAAAUUAAGGCAAGGUAUGGUGGCUGAUGCCUGUAAUCCCAGCACUUCGGGAGGAUGAGGUAGGAGGAUAGAUUCAGCCCAGGAGUUGGAGGCUGCAGUGAGCCAUAAUCACACCACUGCACUCCAGCAUGGGCAACAGCGUAAGACCCUAUCUGAAAAUACAUAAAUAAAAGAAAAAGUUAGCUAGGCGUGGUGGUGCAUUCUUGUGGUCCCAACUACUCAGGAGGCUGAGGUGGGACAAUCACCUGAGUAUGGGAAGUCAAGGGUGCAGUGAGCCAAGAUGGUGCCAUUGCACUCCAGCUUCGGUGACAGAGAGCCAGACCUUGUCACCAAAAAAACGAAAAGUCUCCUGUGAAAAAUGACAAUUUCCAGUGGAACAGUUAUGAGGAAGAGAUGGGAUCUGCCUGGGCUUUUUCAGUCUUUUGGACAAUCCAAGAUUCCUCUAGCUAAUGACUUCACAGUUGGUAACAGCUUGUUAGCUUUAUGGUGUUUCUUUAAUGUUUGUUAAAUGUUCCUGGGAUAUAGAUACCAGAUUACAAUUCACACCAGCCGGGAGGGACAAUGGAAAUUUCUUUAGGAGGCUUGCAGAUCCCUUGGACCUAGGGCACCCAACCUUUUGGGAUAUUUAGGAGAAAAAGGAGGGUUUUACUUCCGUCUUCCCUGGGGUUCCAGAUGAAUGUGUCAUCUUGGCUAGUCAUUUAGAGUCAUCUUAUGAACUCUAAAUGAAACUGAAGUCACACCUUUAACAUUACUUUAAGGAAGAAUCACAGAAGCCAACCUUAAAUCACUUAAAAUGAGAAUGAAACUUGAAGCAAUAGAUAGGAAGAACCAUUAUCUGGUCUGUCCUGCAAUUAUUGGAAGUGUUAAAGGAGAUGAAGUUUACAAUGGCUGGGAGUAAUGACUCAUGUCUCUAUUCCUCAUGCUUUGGGAGGCAGAGUGGGGAGGAUCCCUUGAAGGAGUUUGAGGCUGCAGUGAGCUAUGAUUGUGCCGCUGCACUCCAGCCUGGGUGACAGAGCAAGACACUGUCCACAUCAGAAGAGAGCCCAGCAGCUGCCCAGGCCCUGGUUGGUCCCCAUGGAUGUGGAGCUGUGGCAGGUCAUGCAGAACCAUGUGGAUUGUGCCAUCCAAGCCGGACCGUUCUUGGAUUCCUCCAUAGUGGAAAUAUGGUCGCUGACUUCUCCAAUGGGGAAAACAUUCUGUCUUCCCCCGAUUCAGAGGUGAAACCUCCUUGCCAUUCACACACUCUAGUUCAAUGGUAUCUACUCUGGCACUGCUAAUCCUCCGGAAGACGCUGUUCAAUCAAGUCUAAAUCAGCCUUCCAGUAGUUUCCAUCCAUUGGGUCUCACCAUACUUUCUCAGCGUGGGGUGGCCAUGGUUUGCUAAGCCUGUUUUUCUUUUCUUUAAAUGCAUGUAACAGCCUUUCUGAAGAUCUUUUUUUUUUUUUUACAUUUGCUGUCUGGUACUCAUUUGGAGGCCCGGAGUCCAGCAGAGUUCCUUUCCAUGUUUUCUGCAGUCCUUCAGCGGGGUCUGCACACCUGAUGGCCUGGAAUUGGGCUGGCCCUCGGCAAUCCUGCCCACCCUGUGGGCAAGUAAGUUUGCUCACAGACUUCAGUAGGCCCCGUGUACCUGAGCUUCAAUGGGGUGGGGUUCUCCCCCAGCCAUGUCAGCUGUGUCUGCUCCUCCCUGCUCUCUCUUCCCUCUCUUCUCCCUGCCCUGAGUGCCCUUGUAAUAUCCAGUCUCCGGGUUUCCAACUCAUCUAGUAGGUCUCAGAAGCCAUCACCAGUUUCAGGAUCUCUUUCUGGUACCCUGGGUUUGUGUUCAGGGCCCCUCCUGUCAUGUCUGUAAUGCUCAACAAUUUAAUGAGCUUCUCUGUGCCUAGGUUUCUAAUCUUUAAAAUGGGUAUAAUAGUAGUAUCAGUCUCAUAGUUGUCUUGAGGAUUAGGUGGGUUAAUAUUUGUAAAGCAUGUAUCAGGUAGGUUAAGGACAGGGUACCUGAAGUAAUACUGCCGAGAUUCAGAGCAGAGCCAGGAAACCUUGGGCAAGUCACUUCUCUGUGCCACAUCUUAUCCACAUCUCUGUAACAUGAGGAUGAUAAUAUAGAGUUAUUGUAAACUUUUAGGCAACUAUUUCUUGCAAAGCACCUGGAACAGUGGCAGGCUCUUAUUGAUAAGGGCUCAAUAAACGUGAGCCGUGGUGAUGGUGACAACCUGGGGGGACCCUGCACUUCCCUGUGGGGUCGCCAUUGUGCUGGAGUCUAAUGGCUUAUUUUCCUCGAUAGUUCUCAAGUGCUGUCAGAGCAGGGGAUGGUCAUCAGUAUCCUGACUUCUCUUUUGCUUGAGCUCCUGGAUGGUAUCUGGUGUUUGUAGUUUGUAGAUUUCAUUUUCAUCAAAGCUAAUUGUUCCUUCUACUUUAGAAGUCUGAGCAAUAUGCCUUCAGUGGCCAACUGGAAACUUGUGUUUUAAAACUUCAUUGGACUAUCUAUUUAUUGCUGUGAUGAAAUUAUGUCACAAAAACCCAUGUACUCAUCGUGGAACACGGAAGCAUGAUGGGUACCACCCGAAUGGAGGGGAUGCAGUGUGGAUGGGAACCUCUGGCCUCCCUGAAUGUGUUGACUUCAGGACUCGCUGCCGGUCCUGCAGCCGAUCCUGCAAUGCUUGCUUUGUUGCUUUAGGAACGCUCAUUUCUGCCUUUCUGUUGUAAUUGAUGCCAAUAGCUGCCAGUCCUAAAACACAUCCUGCAGUGCUUGCUUUCUUGGUUUAGGAAUGCUCAUUUCUGCCUUUCUGUUGUAAUUGAUGCCAAUAGCUGCCAGUCCUAAAACACAUCCUGCAGUGCUUGCUUUCUUGCUUUAGGAACGCUCAUUUCUGCCUUUCUGCUGUAAUUGAAGCCAAUAGCUGCCAGUCCUGCAAUGCAUCCUGCAGUGCUUGCUUUCUUGCUUUAGGAAUGCUCAUUUCUGCCUUUCUGUUGUAAUUGAUGCCAAUAGCUGCCAGUCCUAAAACGCAUCCUGCAGUGCUUGCUUUCUUGCUUUAGGAACGCUCAUUUCUGCCUUUCUGUUGUAAUUGAUGCCAAUAGCUGCCAGUCCUAAAACGCAUCCUGCAGUGCUUGCUUUCUUGCUUUAGGAACGCUCAUUUCUGCCUUUCUGUUGUAAUUGAUGCCAAUAGCUGCCGGUCCUGCAACCGAUCCUGCAGUGCUUGCUUUCUUGCUUCAGGAACGCUCAUUUCUGCCUUUCUGUUGUAAUUGAUGCCAAUAACUUGUAGUUUGCUGCCAUAUCUGAAGCUCUGAUGCUUCCUACGUAUCUCUGAGGUCACUACAAAGAUUUUGAAGUCCCUCAUUCUCUGAUAUUAAGAAUUUCAUACUGGCUUCAGUCUCCUUUAUCUCACCGUUAGGGAACUCUUCCCCUUUUCUGUGCCAUUUAUGAGCACACUUGAGAUGUGGCCACAUUGCUGCCCACUUGCUCCAAGGAACAGCUUAAGCCAGAGUCAAGGCCACCAAACCAGGAAGACAUCCCUAUUGUUCAUAGAAGUCAUCUGGUUGGCUCCAAGUAAAACAUCCAGCGCAGUUGGAUCUGACUUUAGUCUGGAGGUCCUGUCUCUAAAACAAAGGAGAGAAACUCGCAAUGAGAUGCUUCUAGGCAGCGCCUGCUCAGAGGCCCACCCAGGGUAGGGCACUGCCGGGAAACGCAGAGGCCUGGCCUAGAGCCUCAUUAGGGCUGGUCUUCGGUGACAGCCCUAAUAACAGGGCAGGCCUCUGUUCUUCCCUACACCUUCCUCAUCUCUGGGUUGGCCUCGUCUCCCUCUGCAUUAGUGAUUUUCCCCAGCGCCAUGCGUGGCUCCUGCCAGCCUGAUGCUGGCCACCAGGACACCGGCUCCAAAACAGCCACCCCCAAAUGCCUUUUCCUGAGUGUGCAUGAGUGCGUGUGUCAGGGAGAAUGCUCAUACCCUUCAGUUUUUUACCAAGUGGUAACAUACAGUACCUAUGUAUCCUGCAGCUUGUGGUUUUCACACAAUUGCUUUUUUAAAUGCAGGUAAAAAUUAUACAGUGAAACACAUUCAUCUUGAGUACAAAUCAGUGGGUUAUGACAAAUGUCUGCAUCUGUGCCUAAGCAGUACCCUGAGGAGGACACUGAACGUUUCCAUCAUCCAAAAAGUUCCCCAUGCUGUUUGCCAUUCGCCCUCACCCUCCGGCCCCAGCAAGCCCUGUUGAGUCUCAUCGGAGUUCCUUCCUCCACCAAGGGAUAGAAACUCACCUGAUUGCUGCAUGCAGACACUGACACUCCCGACCCCUCAUUCGUCACAAUUGAUGCCUUACUCCUGCCUGAUUGCUGUCUUCCUGCUCAUAAUUAAAUUCCUUCCCCCCGCUAUAUAAUGCCUCCGGCUUUAGUCAGCUGGAGAGAGGGAUUUGAGACUGAUCUCCUGUUCUCUUGGGCUGAUGUCAACCAUAAUAUAAUAAAGUUUUCUUCCCCGGCAUUACUUUUCUUAAUGAUUGGCUUUCUGUGCAGAACCUAUACUGAACCUAUACUGAACCCCUGGCAUUUCGGUAACAGAUUUUGGUCCACUAAUCAGGAAUGGGUUGCCUCUGGCUGGUGGCCACAGAUGGGGAGAGUCUCAGAGGCCCUCCUAAGCAGCUGCCUGACCUUUUUUUGGCCAAAGGUGGAUUUCUGUCUGUCUCUCUUUGUCCCCACUGCUGCUGACUCUAACUGUGUUCCUGAUUUGUCUAGGAAGAGCAGCCUUUGAAAUGUGACAUAUGCAUCUGACCGGUGUCUUUUGUGGGUACCAGAUGGCAGGAUCUGCUUCUCUCAAUUUGGGUGGGGAAUUGUGAAGGAAUUUGCAUUUGCAGGUUGAACAAGCCCAGCUGACUGUGAGAGGAAAGCACCUCAACUGUUUUGGCUUGGAUGGUCUUGGGGGCUUGUUAGUCGCUACUGUGG
This 7223-nucleotide long non-coding RNA is filed under the name Homo sapiens (human). Its description in RNAcentral is "non-protein coding LINC02175:16". Lineage: Eukaryota; Metazoa; Chordata; Mammalia; Primates; Hominidae. The record is from RNAcentral.